RNAcentral lists this transfer RNA (62 nucleotides) under Ernobius pini. RNAcentral's name for it is "tRNA-Cys". Lineage: Eukaryota; Metazoa; Arthropoda; Insecta; Coleoptera; Ptinidae. The record is from RNAcentral.
AGCUUUAUAUUCAAUUAAUGAUUUUAAAUUGCAAAUUUAAAGGAGGGGCACCCCUAAGGCUU